AGCAGCCGCGGUAAUUCCAGCUCCAAUAGCGUAUAUUAAAGUUGUUGCAGUUAAAAAGCUCGUAGUUGAAUUUCGGGAUCAGUACGUCGGUCGUGCCUUCGGUAUGCACUGGUGUCACUGGUUCCUCCCUUCUGACGAACCGUCAUGCCAUUAAUUUGGUGUGGCGGGAAAUCAGGACUGUUACUUUGAAAAAAUUAGAGUGUUUAAAGCAGGCUCACGCUUGAAUACAUUAGCAUGGAAUAAUGAAAUAGGACGUUGAUCUUAUUUUGUUGGUUUCUAGGAUUGACGUAAUGAUUAAUAGGGAUAGUUGGGGGCAUUAGUAUUCAAUUGUCAGAGGUGAAAUUCUUGGAUUUAUUGAAGACUAACUACUGCGAAAGCAUUUGCCAAGGAUGUUUUCAUUAAUCAAGAACGAAAGUUAGGGGAUCGAAGACGAUCAGAUACCGUCGUAGUCUUAACCAUAAACUAUGCCGACUAGGGAUCGGAUGAUGUUAAAUUUUUUAAUGUACUCAUUCGGCGUACCCG
RNAcentral lists this ribosomal RNA (522 nucleotides) under uncultured fungus. RNAcentral describes it as "SSU rRNA". It matches the Rfam family "Eukaryotic small subunit ribosomal RNA", at positions 569 to 1089 of the family's 1831-position model. The record is from RNAcentral. Lineage: Eukaryota; Fungi.